Molecule: ribosomal RNA, 1414 nt
Filed under: Clavibacter michiganensis subsp. michiganensis
Lineage: Bacteria; Bacillati; Actinomycetota; Actinomycetes; Micrococcales; Microbacteriaceae
Description: bacterial SSU rRNA
Rfam family: Bacterial small subunit ribosomal RNA
Source: RNAcentral
UACCAUGCAGUCGACGGUGAUGUCAGAGCUUGCUCUGGCGGAUCAGUGGCGAACGGGUGAGUAACACGUGAGUAACCUGCCCCCGACUCUGGGAUAACUGCUAGAAAUGGUAGCUAAUACCGGAUAUGACGAUUGGCCGCAUGGUCUGGUCGUGGAAAGAAUUUCGGUUGGGGAUGGACUCGCGGCCUAUCAGGUUGUUGGUGAGGUAAUGGCUCACCAAGCCUACGACGGGUAGCCGGCCUGAGAGGGUGACCGGCCACACUGGGACUGAGACACGGCCCAGACUCCUACGGGAGGCAGCAGUGGGGAAUAUUGCACAAUGGGCGAAAGCCUGAUGCAGCAACGCCGCGUGAGGGAUGACGGCCUUCGGGUUGUAAACCUCUUUUAGUAGGGAAGAAGCGAAAGUGACGGUACCUGCAGAAAAAGCACCGGCUAACUACGUGCCAGCAGCCGCGGUAAUACGUAGGGUGCAAGCGUUGUCCGGAAUUAUUGGGCGUAAAGAGCUCGUAGGCGGUUUGUCGCGUCUGCUGUGAAAUCCCGAGGCUCAACCUCGGGUCUGCAGUGGGUACGGGCAGACUAGAGUGCGGUAGGGGAGAUUGGAAUUCCUGGUGUAGCGGUGGAAUGCGCAGAUAUCAGGAGGAACACCGAUGGCGAAGGCAGAUCUCUGGGGCCGUAACUGACGCUGAGGAGCGAAAGCAUGGGGAGCGAACAGGAUUAGAUACCCUGGUAGUCCAUGCCGUAAACGUUGGGAACUAGAUGUGGGGACCAUUCCACGGUCUCCGUGUCGCAGCUAACGCAUUUAAGUUCCCCCCCCUGGGGAGGUACGGGCCGCAAGGGCUAAAACUCAAAAGGGAAUUGAACGGGGGGCCCGCACCAAGCGGCGGAGCAAUGCGGAUUAAUUCGAUGCAACCCCGAACGAACCUUACCCAAGGCUUGACAUAUCCCGGAAACAUGCAGAAAUGUGUGCCCCGCAAGGUCGGUAUACAGGUGGUGCAUGGUUGUCGUCAGCUCGUGUCGUGAGAUGUUGGGUUAAGUCCCGCAACGAGCGCAACCCUCGUUCUAUGUUGCCAGCACGUAAUGGUGGGAACUCAUAGGAGACUGCCGGGGUCAACUCGGAGGAAGGUGGGGAUGACGUCAAAUCAUCAUGCCCCUUAUGUCUUGGGCUUCACGCAUGCUACAAUGGCCGGUACAAAGGGCUGCGAUACCGUAAGGUGGAGCGAAUCCCAAAAAGCCGGUCUCAGUUCGGAUUGAGGUCUGCAACUCGACCUCAUGAAGUCGGAGUCGCUAGUAAUCGCAGAUCCGCAACGCUGCGGUGAAUACGUUCCCGGGCCUUGUACACACCGCCCGUCAAGUCAUGAAAGUCGGUAACACCCGAAGCCAGUGGCCUAACCGCAAGGAGGAGCUUCGAAGUGAU